RNAcentral lists this ribosomal RNA (483 nucleotides) under uncultured bacterium. RNAcentral describes it as "partial 16S ribosomal RNA". It matches the Rfam family "Bacterial small subunit ribosomal RNA", at positions 29 to 507 of the family's 1533-position model. The record is from RNAcentral.
AUUGAACGCUGGCGGCAUGCUUUACACAUGCAAGUCGAACGGCAGCGCGGGCUUCGGCCUGGCGGCGAGUGGCGAACGGGUGAGUAAUACAUCGGAACGUGCCCAGUAGUGGGGGAUAGCUCGGCGAAAGCCGGAUUAAUACCGCAUACGACCUGAGGGUGAAAGCGGGGGACCUUGGGACCCGCGGCUUUUGAGGGGCCGAUGGCAGAUUAGCUAGUUGGUGGGGUAAAGGCCUACCAAGGCGACGAUCUGUAGCUGGUCUGAGAGGACGACCAGCCACACUGGGACUGAGACACGGCCCAGACUCCUACGGGAGGCAGCAGUGGGGAAUUUUGGACAAUGGGCGAAAGCCUGAUCCAGCAAUGCCGCGUGUGUGAUGAAGGCCUUCGGGUUGUAAAGCACUUUUGGCGGGAACGAAAAGGACUGUGCCAAUACCACGGUUCGAUGACGGUACCCGCAGAAUAAGCACCGGCUAACUACGUG